RNAcentral lists this ribosomal RNA (301 nucleotides) under uncultured bacterium. RNAcentral's name for it is "partial 16S ribosomal RNA". It matches the Rfam family "Bacterial small subunit ribosomal RNA", at positions 509 to 809 of the family's 1533-position model. The record is from RNAcentral.
CAGUAGCCGCGGGAAUACGAAGGGGGCUAGCGUUGCUCGGAAUGACUGGGCGUAAAGGGCGCGUAGGCGGCAUAUACAGUCAAGCGUGAAAUUCCCGGGCUUAACCUGGGGGCUGCGUUUGAUACGUAUGAGCUAGAGUAUGGCAGAGGGGGGUAGAAUUCCACGUGUAGCAGUGAAAUGCGUAGAGAUGUGGAGGAAUACCGAUGGCGAAGGCAGCCCCCUGGGCCAAUACCGACGCUCAUGCACGAAAGCGUGGGGAGCAAACAGGAUUAGAUACCCCAGUAGUCCCUGUCUCUUAUAA